Molecule: long non-coding RNA, 658 nt
Filed under: Mustela putorius furo (domestic ferret)
Lineage: Eukaryota; Metazoa; Chordata; Mammalia; Carnivora; Mustelidae
Description: lncRNA (ENSMPUG00000024786.1)
Source: RNAcentral
ACAUAGCCCCAUUUGGAAUCUCCAAACCCAGCUGAUUCCUGCUGCGUGCUCCUGCACCACUUCUCCUGAUGGAGGAAGAAGGGGGUCUCCCUGGAACUGCCACUUGUGGGGUCCCUGCUCAAAGAGCAGUGGUCGACUGUGCUGCAGAUCACAGUUUAAGGCUGCCUUACAGCAAUCAGCUGGAGCAGAGGGGCAGUUGCUCACUUUGGACAGGACAAGCAUUCCAGUUCGCCAGAAUCCCAGCACUUACUCCUCUCUCCUAACCUUGAAGGUGAAUGCUUUCAUCACCUGCGACACCGGCUUCCACCGGAUCAGUUGGCCCACAUUUGAGAGCCCUCAUCUGCUUGGGAAAGACACCCCAUUUAGACACCAUAAUGGUGAUUAAGAUAUCCUUUUUUUCCCUCUGCAGAUUUUAUAAAACAAGUACAAUAAAUCCACUUUUAUGUCAAGGAGAAGGAACUUGAAGCCAGAGGAGUACAUGGAACAUUUUAGUUAAUUUAUCUGUUCCCUGAGAAAUGUCCUCAGGGCCCUGCAUGAAUAUGGGUGUAUCACUGGCACAGCUGAUUAAGAACAAAUGUUUCCUGGAUUUCUAUCCCAUUAAGUACCUAUUUUUUUUUCUUAAGAUAUAAGUUUGGUGCCUAAUUUCUUUCCUUCCUGG